UGAACGCUAGCUACAGGCUUAACACAUGCAAGUCGAGGGGCAGCAUGGUCUUAGCUUGCUAAGGCCGAUGGCGACCGGCGCACGGGUGAGUAACACGUAUCCAACCUGCCGUCUACUCUUGGACAGCCUUCUGAAAGGAAGAUUAAUACAAGAUGGCAUCAUGAGUCCGCAUGUUCACAUGAUUAAAGAAUUUCGGUCAUCGAUGGGGAUGCGUUCCAUUAGGCAGUUGGCGGGGUAACGGCCCACCAAACCAACGAUGGAUAGGGGUUCUGAGAGGAAGGUCCCCCACAUUGGAACUGAGACACGGUCCAAACUCCUACGGGAGGCAGCAGUGAGGAAUAUUGGUCAAUGGACGAGAGUCUGAACCAGCCAAGUAGCGUGAAGGAUGACUGCCCUAUGGGUUGUAAACUUCUUUUAUACGGGAAUAAAGUUAGCCACGUGUGGCUUUUUGUAUGUACCGUAUGAAUAAGGAUCGGCUAACUCCGUG
This 487-nucleotide ribosomal RNA is filed under the name uncultured bacterium. RNAcentral describes it as "bacterial SSU rRNA". It matches the Rfam family "Bacterial small subunit ribosomal RNA", at positions 30 to 507 of the family's 1533-position model. The record is from RNAcentral.